GCGCUCACUUUGACAUCACAUAGACUAAAAUUGGAAUGAUACAGAGGAGAUUAGCAUGGCCCCUACGCAAGGAUGAUACGCAAAUUCGUGAAACAUUCCAUUUCUUU
Callithrix jacchus (white-tufted-ear marmoset) is the source of this 107-nucleotide small nuclear RNA. The record is from Ensembl. NCBI's taxonomy places the organism in Eukaryota, Metazoa, Chordata, Mammalia, Primates, Cebidae.